AUCACCUAGAGAUCUUGUUAAAAGGCAGGUUCUGAUUCAGUACAUCCAGGGUAGAGCCUGAGAGUCUGUGUUUAUAACAAGCUCCCCGGUGUUGCUGG
Molecule: microRNA precursor, 98 nt
Filed under: Bos taurus (domestic cattle)
Lineage: Eukaryota; Metazoa; Chordata; Mammalia; Artiodactyla; Bovidae
Also listed under: 5 other names
Description: mir-544 microRNA precursor family
Rfam family: mir-544 microRNA precursor family
Source: Rfam by way of RNAcentral